Molecule: transfer RNA, 68 nt
Filed under: Benthosema glaciale
Lineage: Eukaryota; Metazoa; Chordata; Actinopteri; Myctophiformes; Myctophidae
Description: tRNA-Asp
Rfam family: tRNA
About the family: Transfer RNA (tRNA) molecules are approximately 80 nucleotides in length.
Source: RNAcentral
AAGAUACUAGUAAAGCAUUACACUGCCUUGUCAAGGCAGAGCCGCGGGUUAAACUCCCGCGUAUCUUA